GGCCCCCUGUUGUGGUUUUGUUUUUACAGAUGGGGGGUCCGGCCUGCCCGGUGAUGCUGGAGUUGGUAUUAAACGGCCGCGGUUUUAACGUGCGAAGGUAGCAUAAUCACUUGCCUAUUAAUUGUGGGCUUGUAUGAAUGGUUAGACGAGGGCUUGGCUGUCUUUUUGUAAAUAUUGAGAAAUUAUUUUCUAAGUGAAAAUUCUUAGGUGAAACUGAGGGACGAUAAGACCCUAUCGAGCUUUAGUGUGGUUAUGGGUUAACUAUUGCAUAGGUUUUUGUAGUUAUUUUUGUCUUGUAAUGAGAUCUUUGGUUGGGGCGAUCGAGAAGUAUUAAGAACCUUUUUUUGUUUUUGUGUGCUGGUGGGUAAUUGAUCUGGCGGAGUGUAGAAAAGAGAAGAAGUUACCGUAGGGAUAACAGCGUAAUUUUUCUGGAGAGUUCUUAUCGAGAGAAGAGUUUGCGACCUCGAUGUUGGACUAAGUUAUCCUGGGGGCGUAGGGGCUUUCGAGGGUUGGUCUGUUCGACCAUUA
This 528-nucleotide ribosomal RNA is filed under the name Emarginula sp. MNHN IM 2013-18121. RNAcentral describes it as "partial large subunit ribosomal RNA". It matches the Rfam family "Bacterial large subunit ribosomal RNA", at positions 1816 to 2590 of the family's 2925-position model. The record is from RNAcentral. Lineage: Eukaryota; Metazoa; Mollusca; Gastropoda; Lepetellida; Fissurellidae.